GAUGAACGCUAGCUACAGGCUUAACACAUGCAAGUCGAGGGACAGGCGCACGGGUGUGUAACACGUAUCCAACCUGCCCUUUACUCGGGGAUAGCCUUUCGAAAGCAAGAUUAAUACCCGAUAUAAAGGCUGGGGAUGCGUUCCAUUAGGUUGUUGGUGAGGUAACGGCCCACCAAGCCUUCGAUGGAUAGGGGUUCUGAGAGGAAGGUCCCCCACAGUGGAACUGAGACACGGUCCAAACUCCUACGGGAGGCAGCAGUGAGGAAUAUUAGUCAAUGGGCGGUAGCCUGAACCAGCCAAGUAGCGUGAAGGAGGAAGGCUUAUGGGGCGUAAACUGCUUUGAUAGAAGAAUAUGUAGUAUAUGAGUAAGGAUCGGCUAACUCCGUGCCAGCAGCCGCGGUAAUAC
This 406-nucleotide ribosomal RNA is filed under the name uncultured bacterium. RNAcentral's name for it is "partial 16S ribosomal RNA". It matches the Rfam family "Bacterial small subunit ribosomal RNA", at positions 28 to 526 of the family's 1533-position model. The record is from RNAcentral.